CUCACGAACAUUCUCCCCAAAAUCUCAGCCCUCCAACCUAGCUCUCUCUGCAUCGGCCGGCGGCCGGCUGCGCCCCAAAUCCCUCGCCGUCGGCUGCGCCCCCAAAUCCCUCGCCUAUUCCAUUCUCUCGUUCGCCCCCUCCGCCCCCAAAUCCCUUGCCUCUUCCAUCCUCUCGUCCACCCCCUCCGCCUGAUUCGCUGGUCAGUAGCCCAACGACCUGCUGCCUCCGAAGUGUUGCCGGCAAAGCUUCCCGCGGCGUCCGGAAGAGGGUCGUCGUCAACGACCCCGUGGCCGCCGUCACUCGACCACUGCAUCCUUCCCUGAGCGGCGCCCUUUCCAAUCUAGGUUACAGGACUUCUGAAGUUAUUUCACUUGUUGACGAGAAAGAAAACAUAGUUAAACUGCUGAUUGUCAAGGAUUAGAUCUUGGAUUUGCUAGUGGAUUUUGGGAGUUUCUUAGCCAGCUUGGUGACUCCAUAUUUUUCACUAUUUCAGCAAGUCUUUGGUAAGCAUUAAACUUUCAGCAUUACAUUUUUAUCUUAUGUGUACAUCUGUUUGCUUCCAAUUGCUAUAUAUGUAUUGUUGUUGCUAAAUAACUCAUAUUAAGUAUGAUAUGUUGAGGUUAAAUAAGCAAAUAGCUGAUCUAUUCCAUUUUCAACACAUAAUUUGUUAAAUGGCAGAUCGUG
Non-coding RNA from Triticum urartu, 685 nucleotides. Lineage: Eukaryota; Viridiplantae; Streptophyta; Magnoliopsida; Poales; Poaceae. The record is from RefSeq and is a predicted model, not a curated record.